RNAcentral lists this long non-coding RNA (548 nucleotides) under Linum usitatissimum (flax). Its description in RNAcentral is "long non-coding RNA (LUSI_LNC004480)". Lineage: Eukaryota; Viridiplantae; Streptophyta; Magnoliopsida; Malpighiales; Linaceae. The record is from RNAcentral.
AAAAUUCUUGUUUUCUUUGUCCCUGCUCUUUUCUUUUGGCCGGUGCCUCUUUCAUUUCUGUGGAAAGAGUAGUCUUGAAUGAACUAGCUGAUACACGUUAAGACUUUCCCAAAUUUAAGUAUAAUCCUCAAUCAUCUUCACUUACACGUCUAGGAUUCUCGUACUUGUUUGUCUCUGUACUGACAUAAUCUGAUGGUUUCAGGGGGGGAAAAGGAUGGAAAAAAAUUGUUUACCUGAAACCUGUGGUAUUGAUCAACAGCGACAUCAGCAUUGCUGAAAUCCAAAAUUCUCCCUGGCGAAGACGACCCUGGAAAAGUAAGUUCCUUUCUCUUGUAUAAAUAAAUAAUCUGGCAUUUUCCUGAAAGGUGAUGAGAUUACUUACCGGGCUUUCUUGUGAAGGUAUCCCAUAUGCUAGCUCCUUUAUUCCCUUCAGUUGCAGCUCCUUCAAACUGAAAAGGAGAAAUUUGAUUAUCAAGAUGCUCUUCUAAGAAAACCAGACAGCUUCAGGAACACUUCUAUUGAGUUGAGAAGGAAAGAGAACUUGAUAA